GUUGCUGGCGCAUGCUAUACAUGCAGUCGAGCGAACCGUGAAGUGCUUGCACUUCGGCGGUUAGCGGCGGACGGGUGAAUAACACGUAGGCAACCUGCCUGUACGACUGGGAUAACUUCGGGAAACCGAAGCUAAUACCGGAUAGGUUAACGAACCGCAUGGUUCGUUAAAGAAAGACCUUGCGUCACGUACAGAUGGGCCUGCGGCGCAUUAGCUAGUUGGUAGGGUAACGGCCUACCAAGGCGACGAUGCGUAGCCGACCUGAGAGGGUGAUCGGCCACACUGGGACUGAGACACGGCCCAGACUCCUACGGGAGGCAGCAGUAGGGAAUCUUCCGCAAUGGACGAAAGUCUGACGGAGCAACGCCGCGUGAACGAUGAAGGUUUUCGGAUCAUAAAGUUCUGUGGUUAGGGAAAAACCGGCCGGGAUACCCUCCCGGUCUGACGGUACCUUUGGGGGAGGGGGCGCGCCUACUUCG
RNAcentral lists this ribosomal RNA (479 nucleotides) under bacterium EGU435. Its description in RNAcentral is "bacterial SSU rRNA". It matches the Rfam family "Bacterial small subunit ribosomal RNA", at positions 35 to 505 of the family's 1533-position model. The record is from RNAcentral.